AGGUUCUUUAGGUUUGUCUGGAGUUUUUAAUAAUAUAAAAGAAUAUGUUACCACUACAGUUUCCAAUUUCUAUUUGUAUUAUAGAUCUUUAUCCAGUAACUCUUUUAUUAGUUCUUAUAACCUGUCCUUUGAUUUUAUUGAGUUGUCUAUAAGAGAAAUCUAUCAUACUUUUAAAUAGUAACAAAUAUAUCUUUCACUUUCCAAUUCUUAAGCUCUUACUUACAUAAGAGCUUACUUAAUUUUCUCAUUGUGUUAAGUAAUACCACUAGUUAAGUAAUACCACUAGAGUGAUCAUUACUAUCUUGUUCCUGAACUUAAUUUUAAGAUGUUUACCAAUAGCUGUUCUUUUAGUAGCAGGCGUUCAGUAGCAACCCCUUAGAGAUAGUUUCAAAUCUAAAGCUUAAAAACAGCCAGGCAAAGUAAAGAGCACCUAUAAUCCCUGCUACUGGAGAAGUGAGUACAAUUCUGAGGCCAGCCCAAGCAACAUAGGGAGACCCACCUCAAAAAAAAAAAAAAAAAAAAAGAAAAAGAAAAGAAAAGAAAAAAGAAAGAGAGAGAGAGAGAGAGAGAGAUAUUAAAAACAUGUCUGUCUGAUUCUUUGCCCAUCUUUAAUCUCUGUAGAUAGUUCCCUGUUAUGGACACUGUCAACAUCCCACUUCCAACUUCCAGCUCCUGUAACUUUUCAUGCAAGGGCUUCUUGUGGUCAUCAGUCUGCUCUGCCUGUGCAGUACAGGCUGAAAGUGCCCAGAAUUAACACUCCCUAGAAGCAGCACCCAACCAAUGACUAGAGGGAGCCGGGGUUCCCAUCCCCUAGCUCCCACUCUGCCCCUGAGCUACAUCAGCUUCUUCCAUCCUUAUCUUCAUCUCUAAGCUGGAGCUCUGAUACAGGGGAGGCUGAUGUAACAUUGUAGGACAGAACAGGAGAUAUCUAGUCACAGAACUACCUCUGGCCCUCACUGACUUCUGAGAAGGUCAUCAUUAGUCUUAACAGGACCCCACUGAAUCCAUGCACCCACUGCUGUGUGACUUCUUGUCUGUUUUUUUUUUUUUUUUGAUAGCUAUCUUGGCAGCAGCACUAUAUCACUUCUCUUCUAGGGCUAGUUUUUAUAAACUCUAUGCUUGGAUGUCUUAUCCCUCUGGAACUAACAUGCAAUAGCAUCUCUUUCAAGUCCUCAACCCUAAGCCAGGCAUGGCAGUGCAGACCUGUAAACCCAACAACUUGGGAGACUGAGGAAAGAGGAUCACAAGCUUGAGGCCAUGUCACAAAAAAAUGAAAAGAGCUGGACAUAUAGCUCAGUGGAAAAGCACCUUUUGAGUUUGAUCCCCAGUACUGAAAAAAGAAGACCUCAUCCUUUGUAAAUUGGAGGCAGUUUGGUUGCAAACUGCUGAAUCUGCUAAGAGUUUUAAAUAUCCAUUCCAUUGAGUCUCGUGGAUGAAUAGCCCAAGAAUAACAAUAAUAAUUCUAGGAGAGUGAAAGCACUUUUGGACCACUACAUAAUAUGUGUGUGUGUGUGUGGGGGGUGUUUUUGUUGUUUGUUGGUUGGCUGGUAUUAGGGAUUGAGCCCAGGGGUGUUCUACCACAUUCCCAGCCCUUUUUAUUUUUUGUUUCGAGAGUAUCUCACCACAUAGUGAAGCCUCAGACUUAAGAAGAUCCUCCUACCUCAGCCUCCUGGUUGCUUCAUUACAGGCAUGUGCUUCCACACUGGUUACAGUCUCCUCUUUUAUGUCUGUUUCCCCUUCAUGAAAUUAUCAUGCCUGUUUAGUGAUAAUUGUCUGAAAUCGCUGAUGGUGUUCAUAUGUGCAUUUUCCUUUUCUCUCUCUCUGCUGGCUUCUCCAAACUUGAAAAGAUUUGCUUGUCACUUUUGAAGAUUGCCAUGUGUUUUUAUUAAUGCUGUGAGAAAGAAAGAACAUUUAAUAUGGAGGUCCGUCAUUUGUUAUCUGGAGUAGCUCGAGCAACUUAUGAUGUCUCUAAACCGGUAGUUCUCAGUGGGACAGCACUGUACUUCCUGGGGAUUUGUUUAAAAUGUAAAUUCAGUUCUUCCCUGAACCUAUUGAAACAGAAAGUCUGUGCUGGGUCUCAGCAAAUCUGUGUUUUAACAAGUCCUAUUGUUUAACAAACCCUAAGUUUUGAUUUUGAAGCAUACUUGGUUUCCUAGAGAAUGGAUACUGACAAGUUUUUUUUUUUUUUUUUGCAAUUGAGAUUUAAAUAUGAUAAUAUAUGCAAAAUAAAUUGCUAAGUUAGGAAAUGCCUACAGGGGCUGGGGAGACAUGAGGUAAAAGGGUGGAGGAAAAUAGCCACCUUGUAGAGAGACAUUCAAAUUAUUACUACUUUUUAAAUCAUCAUACAAAAUAAAACCUGUCUAAAAGUUAAAUUCUACAAGGGGUAAGAGGCAGGGAGGGAGGGGGAAAAUGCUGGAGAGUGAUACUGGCCAAGUUAUGUUGUUAUAGUGUGUGCAUGUAUGUAUAUGUAACAACAAAUCCCAAUAGGUACAACUAUUAUUCACCAAUCUUAAAAAUGUGGGGAAAUAAAUAAAUAAGAAUUUUUUAGGGCUGGGGAUGUGGCU
RNAcentral lists this long non-coding RNA (2564 nucleotides) under Marmota monax (woodchuck). Lineage: Eukaryota; Metazoa; Chordata; Mammalia; Rodentia; Sciuridae. The record is from RNAcentral.